Molecule: long non-coding RNA, 531 nt
Organism: Hemicordylus capensis (graceful crag lizard)
Lineage: Eukaryota; Metazoa; Chordata; Lepidosauria; Squamata; Cordylidae
Exons: 3
Source: RefSeq, a predicted model, not a curated record
CACUGAUUAGGUGCUGUUUUGAUUGGGAAGGCAGCACAUGAAACAAUUUGGAACCAAAGUGGAAGGAGAGAUGGAAAGAACACAGGGAGGAAAAGGAAACUGGGACAGAAAGUCAUCUCCCCAGCCCAGUUUACAGAUGAUGCUCACAAUUGGACACCUAAUGUUCAAGCCCGAGCAGGGUGAAUGGCUAGAAGGUGGGAUCUGCACACAUCUAGCAAGAAUUAAUGGAAGAAGUAAAUUUCUGCUGGAAAAAUUGACACCCUUCAAAGACAGCCAACACUAGGGAACUGCUUAAGUAGCAAAGAGUUAUGCUGCUGCAGCUAAAGUAACAUCAAGGGCAUGGCAAACAAUGCAAUGCCAUGACGCUUGCCAACUUGUGACAGAAAAAGGAGGGAUGAGUGGACUUCCUGAUUCCAUGCAGGAUUUCCUGAGUGAUUCCUUUUGUUCCAUCGGCUUGCUUAGUCUGCCUUCUCCUACCUUGCUUCCAUUUCAACAUGGAGAAUUUCUAAAAUUAAUUCUGGAAAAAGCAGA